UUUCCGUAGGUGAACCUGCGGAAGGAUCAUUCAUAAUAAAGUGUUUUAUGGCACUUUUUAAAAAUCCAUAUCCACCUUGUGUGCAAUGUUAGAUCUCGUCAAUCUUGGCGAGAUUUUUAUACAUCAACUCAUUCUUUAACUAAUUUGUCUGAAAAAUAUUAUGAAUACUCAAUUCAAAAUACAACUUUCAACAACGGAUCUCUUGGCUCUC
RNAcentral lists this unclassified non-coding RNA (211 nucleotides) under plant metagenome. RNAcentral's name for it is "partial contains small subunit ribosomal RNA, internal transcribed spacer 1, and 5.8S ribosomal RNA". The record is from RNAcentral.